AACGAACGCUGGCGGCGCGCCUAAUACAUGCAAGUCGAGCGAGAAGACGUAGCAAUACGUUUGUAAAGCGGCGAACGGGUGAGGAAUACAUGGGUAACCUACCCUCGAGUGGGGAAGUAACUAGCCGAAAGGUUAGCUAAUACCGCGUACGCUCCUUGGACUUCGGUUCAGGGAGGAAAGCGAUACCGUGGGUGUCGCGCUCUUGGAUGGGCUCAUGUCCUAUCAGCUUGUUGGUGAGGAACGGCUCACCAAGGCUUCGACGGGUAGCUGGUCUGAGAGGACGAUCAGCCACACUGGCACUGCGACACGGGCCAGACUCCUACGGGAGGCAGCAGUAAGGAAUAUUGCGCAAUGGGCGAAAGCCUGACGCAGCGACGCCGCGUGGGGGAGUGAAGG
RNAcentral lists this ribosomal RNA (396 nucleotides) under uncultured bacterium. Its description in RNAcentral is "bacterial SSU rRNA". It matches the Rfam family "Bacterial small subunit ribosomal RNA", at positions 29 to 414 of the family's 1533-position model. The record is from RNAcentral.